CUGAGGCGGGGAGGCUGGGAGCUUGCUCCUGGAAGUGGAGGUUCUUAGCUCCGGCAACUUUCGGAUCCGUUCUGGGGUUGUUUUUCAAAUGCAAGUCACAACCCAUUCGUGGCUCAGCCCAUUCUCUCGUCCUCAGUAAUUCUCUGGGUGACACCUCUGUUCAUGGAAACUUCAUCCAGCCCUAGAGGAUCACCUGCUGUCACUGGCUUACAAAGACAAGGAAUCAAGCAAAAGAUGCCCCCAGACUGCAAAUAUCGUCUCUGAACACUCAGUCAUGACUGAGGUCCCUGAAAAAAGGCAGUAUUUGGGAUGAGGGUCUCUCCAAGUUGCUGAGGCUAGCCUGAACUUGUGUCCUCCUGCCUCAGCCUCCUAAGUUGCACCUACCUGAGCCUGAAGACCAUACCAGAGGAGUGAAGCAGCCCAC
This is a long non-coding RNA of Sciurus carolinensis (gray squirrel), 424 nucleotides long. RefSeq lists it as uncharacterized. The transcript has 4 exons. The record is from RefSeq and is a predicted model, not a curated record. Lineage: Eukaryota; Metazoa; Chordata; Mammalia; Rodentia; Sciuridae.